Molecule: long non-coding RNA, 2505 nt
Organism: Heterocephalus glaber (naked mole-rat)
Lineage: Eukaryota; Metazoa; Chordata; Mammalia; Rodentia; Bathyergidae
Source: Ensembl
GGGCAGUAACUAUACUGCAGGGAAUCCAAUGAGAAAACAAAAACUGACACACUCAUUUUAUGCUGCAGCAUAUAACAAUGGCUCAGAACCCAGUAGUUUAUGAAUGAAAUAGAGAUACUUUAUUUAUUACACAGGCACUUGGAUAUUCACAUGCCCAACACAUCUGAUACACUUAAACACCUAUGGAGACAGGAAUGGAAAACUUCUGCAUGUAGACCAAGAGAGAACUUUCACUAUGGAAAGGUGAAUGAAUGCAUUAACAAUUUUUCCUUUACUAUCCUCUAAGAAUUUCCAAAAGUUACACUUCAAAUCAUAUGCAACAAAAAAAACUGAUCUACAUUUCAAGUGGUAGGCUAAGGUGAAUUGUGCAAUUGAAACUUUUAUCACAAUGCAACAUAUUUAUAGUCAUGCUUGAACAGAUUAGGUUAGUAGCAUGCAUUCCAUUCUGCAAUAUGAAUACUGUUAAUCUAUUUCCCAACAAAAGUCAAAAGAUCAAAAGAUGCCCAGUGUGUAGAAAAAUACAAAUCACUGUAGUCAAUUUAUUACGAGACUGAUUUGGGGACUAGAUGGUGACGAUGACGCCCUAAGAUGCCAUGCCCACAAAAGCACAUUACAAAGGGGAUGAACAUUUUUAUCAGACAAUCUCUAAAAAUUAAAGAUGCGGGCUUUAAACUGGGGGAUGUUCUCGCUGUGUACUUUGAACACGGCCUUUCUGCUCACCUCCGUCUGGCUGGACCGGUCCAUCGGACAGCGCCUUCCUGAGGGCUAGCUGGCUUUGGUCUUGGGUACCAUUGGCUGCUGGAGGCAGAUUGUCAGACUGAGUUCUCUGAAUGGGAAGGACUCCUGCUAUGCUGUGCCUGUGCUGCUUCCUGGCACGAUUAGACUGCCCGCUCUUAGGUGCUGCACUGGCAGUGUGGGUGAGAUGGAAACCCAGAGUAUGCACCCUUGGACGGACCCGGCCUCGUGUGAUUCAUGCAAACAGAAGUGUUCUCUUGCUCUGCUAGGUGUGUUUUCCAAUGCCAAGGACACCACAUGCAUAGCACUAAAGGACCCUAAAACUGGCUGUUUCUUCGAAACCAUGAUGGGAGUGGGGCGCAAGACAACAAUCUCUCCCUUGCCUGGCUGAGGCCGGGAGUCACAGCACCCACAGCUGGCGACUCUGUGGACUUGGGUUGUUACAGUUGACUCAACUGUUCACAAUGGUACACAGCCGCUAACGCUGGUGAACAGUGCACUUUGAUUGACUGACAGCUACUAGACACAGCACAUCUUGAAUUUUAAAGUAUUUCAAUGGUUAGGGAAAAAAUAAGCCUUAAAUUCUCUGUGAUGGCACACAAAGGGUUAUCCAAGAGGACGGAACCGGCUGUGCUCCUUGGUGAAGCUAGCAGCCUCAUCCCAUAGACUGCUUCGUAGAUGAACGUGUGUUUUGGAAGAAUACAGUGGUACCGCACUUCAUGGACGCUUUUGCUUGUGAACAAUUUGGUUGGCAAACAAGAGCAUUUAGCAAAAUCUUGGUUUUGCUUGCCAACUCUGCAUCGGGCGAUAGACAUGAACGCGGCCAUCUUUCCUACACAAACACAAACGUGGCCACCUUUUCCACAACGGCGGAAAAAUUUCAGUUCAUGAACCGAGGUACCACUGUGGAUAAAAUGUCACUUUCUUCACAGCUUUCUCAGAAGACUAGGAAGUUUCUCGCCUCUCACAUGCACAAUUUCUCACAUGGUCUUAAGCAUCAGCUUGAAAUAGCUUUUUCCCUCAGCUGUAGAAAGUGGCUGCUGGUCUCAUAACUGUUCUACUUAAAAGUUUUGAAUCUUUUCAGGUGCGAGAAUGUCAUUGUGACUCUCCUCCCAAUAAGUGUGUGCUUUCUUUUUUUUUUUUUUUUUUUUUUUUUUUUUUUUUGUGCAAUGCCUGGAAAACUGGCAGCCCCUUGUGCUUAUAAUCCCUGUAAUCGAAAGGGUACUGAGGCACACAUAGAAGGACACACAACAUUGCUUGGCCUGCGAACGUCACGGACAUGGCUGCUAGGUACCAUGAACCGGUUGGACGGAGGGCGGAGACAGAGGAGAAACAGCCAGUUUUACUGCAGUCUAUGUGAAUUAAAAAAAAUAAGAAAUGGAAGAAAACAAGCACGGAAGAGCCUGUGUAUGGGUCGCUGCUGGUUCACACGGACAAGACAGGGCGGGGCGGGUGCGGACAGAAGCGGGCGGGAGGGCCAUGCUGCUAUCUGCGCCUUUUACUUGGGGGCGCGCGCUGCUGCGCGGCCUCAGCGGCGGCGAUGGCGUGGCCCGCGUCCUCCAGGUGCUGCGCCACGCUGCCGCGGCUCUGGCUGCGCGAAGGGCCGUGCGAGCGUAGGUGGCCUUCGGACGACGACUUGGAGCUGCCCGGGCUGCUGUGCGACUUCUCCAUGGUGGGCACCUGCAUGUCUGCUGCGGGAGGGUGGACAGUCAGGGCGUGGUCACCAUGGAGACGCGGGGCCUGGUUCCCCUCCCCCGCACGCCACGCCGG